GAUUAGAUACCCCUGUAGUCCCAGCUGUAAACGAUGCGCGUUAGGUGUAUCGGUGACCACGAGUCAUCGAGGUGCCGAAGGGAAACCGUGAAACGUGCCGCCUGGGAAGUACGGUCGCAAGGCUGAGACUUAAAGGAAUUGGCGGGGGAGCACCACAACGGGUGGAGCCUGCGGUUUAAUUGGACUCAACGCCGGACAACUCACCGGGGACGACAGCAAAAUGUAGGCCAGGCUGAAGACCUUGCCUGAAUCGCUGAGAGGAGGUGCAUGGC
Molecule: ribosomal RNA, 272 nt
Filed under: uncultured Methanolinea sp.
Lineage: Archaea; Methanobacteriati; Methanobacteriota; Methanomicrobia; Methanomicrobiales; Methanoregulaceae
Description: partial 16S ribosomal RNA
Rfam family: Archaeal small subunit ribosomal RNA
Source: RNAcentral